CCUACGGGAGGCAGCAGUGGGGAAUAUUGCACAAUGGGGGAAACUCUGAUGCAGUGACGCCGCGUGAGUGAAGAAGUAUUUCGGUAUGUAAAGCUCUAUCAGCAGGGAAGAAAUAAAGUCCUUCGGACUUUGGACGGUACCUGACUAAGAAGCCCCGGCUAACUACGUGCCCGCAGCCGCGGUAAUACGUAGGGGGCAAGCGUUAUCCGGAUUUACUGGGUGUAAAGGGAGCGUAGACGGCAGCACAAGUCUGGAGUGAAAUCCCAUGGCUUAACCAUGGAACUGCUUUGGAAACUGUGCAGCUGGAGUGCAGGAGAGGUAAGCGGAAUUCCUAGUGUAGCGGUGAAAUGCGUAGAUAUUAGGAGGAACACCAGUGGCGAAGGCGGCUUACUGGACUGUAACUGACGUUGAGGCACGAAAGCGUGGGGAGCAAACAGGAUUAGAUACCCUAGUAGUC
Molecule: ribosomal RNA, 457 nt
Filed under: uncultured bacterium
Lineage: Bacteria
Description: partial 16S ribosomal RNA
Rfam family: Bacterial small subunit ribosomal RNA
Source: RNAcentral